Molecule: ribosomal RNA, 468 nt
Filed under: uncultured bacterium
Lineage: Bacteria
Description: partial 16S ribosomal RNA
Rfam family: Bacterial small subunit ribosomal RNA
Source: RNAcentral
GACGAACGCUGGCGGCGUGCUUAACACAUGCAAGUCGAACGGAGAGGCCCUGCUUUUGUGGGGUGCUCGAGUGGCGAACGGGUGAGUAACACGUGAGUAACCUGCCCUUGACUUUGGGAUAACUUCAGGAAACUGGGGCUAAUACCGGAUAGGAGCUCCUGCUGCAUGGUGGGGGUUGGAAAGUUUCGGCGGUUGGGGAUGGACUCGCGGCUUAUCAGCUUGUUGGUGGGGUAGUGGCUUACCAAGGCUUUGACGGGUAGCCGGCCUGAGAGGGUGACCGGCCACAUUGGGACUGAGAUACGGCCCAGACUCCUACGGGAGGCAGCAGUGGGGAAUAGUGCACAAUGGGCGGAAGCCUGAUGCAGCAACGCCGCGUGCGGGAUGACGGCCUUCGGGUUGUAAACCGCUUUCGCCUGUGACGAAGCGUGAGUGACGGUAAUGGGUAAAGAAGCACCGGCUAACUACGUG